GAUGAACGCUGACAGAAUGCUUAACACAUGCAAGUCAACUUGAACUUCGGUUUGGGUGGCGGACGGGUGAGUAACGCGUAAAGAACUUGCCUCACAGCUAGGGACAACAUUUGGAAACGAAUGCUAAUACCUGAUAUUAUGAUUAUAUGGCAUCGUAUAAUUAUGAAAGCUAUAUGCGCUGUGAGAGAGCUUUGCGUCCCAUUAGCUAGUUGGAGAGGUAACAGCUCACCAAGGCGAUGAUGGGUAGCCGGCCUGAGAGGGUGAUCGGCCACAAGGGGACUGAGACACGGCCCUUACUCCUACGGGAGGCAGCAGUGGGGAAUAUUGGACAGUGGACCGAGAGUCUGAUCCAGCAAUUCUGUGUACACGAUGAAGUUUUUCGGAAUGUAAAGUGCUUUCAGUUGGGAAGAAAAAAAUGACGGUACCAACAGAAGAAGAGACGGCUAAAUACGUG
This 454-nucleotide ribosomal RNA is filed under the name uncultured bacterium. Its description in RNAcentral is "partial 16S ribosomal RNA". It matches the Rfam family "Bacterial small subunit ribosomal RNA", at positions 28 to 507 of the family's 1533-position model. The record is from RNAcentral.